RNAcentral lists this transfer RNA (69 nucleotides) under Ictidomys tridecemlineatus (thirteen-lined ground squirrel). RNAcentral's name for it is "Spermophilus tridecemlineatus (thirteen-lined ground squirrel) tRNA". It matches the Rfam family "tRNA". From Rfam's summary of the family: Transfer RNA (tRNA) molecules are approximately 80 nucleotides in length. Their secondary structure includes four short double-helical elements and three loops (D, anti-codon, and T loops). Lineage: Eukaryota; Metazoa; Chordata; Mammalia; Rodentia; Sciuridae. The record is from Rfam by way of RNAcentral.
GGGGUUGUAGCUCAAAGGUAGAGUGCUUGUCUAGCGUGCAUGAGGCAUUGGGUUCAAUCCUCAGCACCA